CAGCAGCCACGGUAAAACGUAGGUGGCAAGCGUUGUCCGGGAUUAUUGGGCGUAAAGGGCUCGCAGGCGGCUUCUUAAGUCUGAUGUGAAAGCCCCCGGCUCAACCGGGGAGGGUCAUUGGAAACUGGGAAACUUGAGUGCAGAAGAGGAGAGUGGAAUUCCACGUGUAGCGGUGAAAUGCGUAGAGAUGUGGAGGAACACCAGUGGCGAAGGCGACUCUCUGGUCUGUAACUGACGCUGAGGAGCGAAAGCGUGGGGAGCGAACAGGAUUAGAUACCCCAGUAGUCCCUGUCUCUUAUAC
Molecule: ribosomal RNA, 301 nt
Filed under: uncultured bacterium
Lineage: Bacteria
Description: partial 16S ribosomal RNA
Rfam family: Bacterial small subunit ribosomal RNA
Source: RNAcentral